RNAcentral lists this ribosomal RNA (406 nucleotides) under uncultured bacterium. RNAcentral's name for it is "partial 16S ribosomal RNA". It matches the Rfam family "Bacterial small subunit ribosomal RNA", at positions 30 to 526 of the family's 1533-position model. The record is from RNAcentral.
AUUGAACGCUGGCGGCAGGCCUAACACAUGCAAGUCGAGCGAGCGGCGGACGGGUGAGUAAUGUCUGGGAAACUGCCUGAUGGAGGGGGGUAACUACUGGAAACGGUUGCUAAUACCGCAUACCAUCUGAUGUGCCCAGAUGGGAUUAGCUAGUUGGUGGGGUAACGGCGCACCUGGGCGACGAUCCCUCGCUGGUCUGCGAGGAUGACCGGCCAAACUGGAACGUGGACACGGUCCGACCUCCUACGGGAGGCAGCAGUGGGGAAUAUUGCAAAAUGGGGGCAAGCCUGAUGCAGCCAUGCCGCGUGUUUGAAGAAGUCCUUCGGGUUGUAAAGCACUUUCAGCGGGGAGGCGUUACCCGCAGAAGAAGCACCGGCUAACUCCGUGCCAGCAGCCGCGGUAAUUC